Molecule: ribosomal RNA, 216 nt
Filed under: Enterococcus faecium
Lineage: Bacteria; Bacillati; Bacillota; Bacilli; Lactobacillales; Enterococcaceae
Description: partial 16S ribosomal RNA
Rfam family: Bacterial small subunit ribosomal RNA
Source: RNAcentral
UUUUAUGAGAGUUUGAUCCUGGCUCAGGACGAACGCUGGCGGCGUGCCUAAUACAUGCAAGUCGAACGCUUCUUUUUCCACCGGAGCUUGCUCCACCGGAAAAAGAGGAGUGGCGAACGGGUGAGUAACACGUGGGUAACCUGCCCAUCAGAAGGGGAUAACACUUGGAAACAGGUGCUAAUACCGUAUAACAAUCAAAACCGCAUGGUUUUGAUU